This 497-nucleotide ribosomal RNA is filed under the name uncultured bacterium. RNAcentral describes it as "partial 16S ribosomal RNA". It matches the Rfam family "Bacterial small subunit ribosomal RNA", at positions 28 to 507 of the family's 1533-position model. The record is from RNAcentral.
GACGAACGCUGGCGGCGUGCCUAAUACAUGCAAGUUGAGCGCUGAAGGUUGGUACUUGUACCAACUGGAUGAGCAGCGAACGGGUGAGUAACGCGUGGGGAAUCUGCCUUUGAGCGGGGGACAACAUUUGGAAACGAAUGCUAAUACCGCAUAAAAACUUUAAACACAAGUUUUAAGUUUGAAAGAUGCAAUUGCAUCACUCAAAAAUGAUCCCGCGUUGUAUUAGCUAGUUGGUGAGGUAAAGGCUCAACAAGGCGAUGAUGCAUAGCCGACCUGAGAGGGGGAACGGCCAACAUGGGACCUGGGACCGGCCCAAACCUCCUCGGGGAGCAACCAUAGGGAAACUUCCGGCAAUGGCGGAAGGUCGAACCAGCCAAGCCGCCGUGGGUAAGAAGGGUUUCGGGUCCGAAAACUCUGUUGGUAGGGAAGAAAGUUGGUGAGAGUGGAAAGCCCCUCCAGUGACGGUAACUACCCAGAAAGCGACGGCUAACUACGUG